AAUGGCAGCCCCAGGAUUGGAUCAGAUUCAUCAUCAAUGUGGAAAUUCACAUUUUAAUGUGGAUUUUAAUGGAAUAACUGGAAAAUGCAGGAGUUUUCUGGAGCACAAUAAAAGGCAAUUAAUGGCAGCCCCAGGAUUGGAUCAGAUUCAUCAUCAAUGUGGAAAUUCACAUUUUAACGUGGAUUUUAAUGGAAUAACUGCAAAUUCAGGGUUUUCUGGAGCACAGUAAAAGGCAAUAAAUGGCAGCCUCAGGAUUUGUGUCA
RNAcentral lists this long non-coding RNA (263 nucleotides) under Zonotrichia albicollis (white-throated sparrow). Its description in RNAcentral is "lncRNA (ENSZALG00000008727.1)". Lineage: Eukaryota; Metazoa; Chordata; Aves; Passeriformes; Passerellidae. The record is from RNAcentral.